This 253-nucleotide unclassified non-coding RNA is filed under the name uncultured Paracoccaceae bacterium. RNAcentral describes it as "uncultured Rhodobacteraceae bacterium contains 16S-23S intergenic spacer region". It matches the Rfam family "Bacterial small subunit ribosomal RNA", at positions 524 to 776 of the family's 1533-position model. The record is from RNAcentral. Lineage: Bacteria; Pseudomonadati; Pseudomonadota; Alphaproteobacteria; Rhodobacterales; Paracoccaceae.
UACGUAGGGGACUAGCGUUGUUCGGAAUUACUGGGCGUAAAGCGCGCGUAGGCGGACUAUUAAGUCAGGGGUGAAAUCCCGGGGCUCAACCCCGGAACUGCCCUUGAUACUGGUAGUCUGGAGUUCUGGAGAGGUGAGUGGAAUUCCGAGUGUAGAGGUGAAAUUCGUAGAUAUUCGGAGGAACACCAGUGGCGAAGGCGGCUUACUGGACCGGCAUAGACGCUGAGGUGCGAAAGUGUGGGGAGCAAACAGG